AUUCCAGCUCCAAUAGCGUAUAUUAAAGUUGUUGCAGUUAAAAAGCUCGUAGUUGGAUUUCUGGUUUGAUGCCCUGGCCCGCGGCGAUUCGCCGUGAGUGCCGGUUGUGCGUCUGCCAUCCUUCUAGAAAACGUUUCUACCCUUCACUGGGCCGGACUCGCGAUCUAGAUCUUUUACUUUGAAAAAAUUAGAGUGUUUAAAGCAGGCUUUUGCUAUGAAUACAUUAGCAUGGAAUAAUAAUCUAGGACUUCGGUUCUAUUUUGUUGGUUUCUAGUACUGAAGUAAUGAUUGAUAGGGAUAGUUGGGGGUGCUAGUAUUGAGCGGCCAGAGGUGAAAUUCUUGGAUUCGCUCAAGACUAACUUAUGCGAAAGCAUUCACCAAGGAUGUCUUCAUCA
Molecule: ribosomal RNA, 395 nt
Filed under: Ebriida sp. TAGIRI1 lineage
Lineage: Eukaryota; Cercozoa; Thecofilosea
Description: partial small subunit ribosomal RNA
Rfam family: Eukaryotic small subunit ribosomal RNA
Source: RNAcentral